Molecule: ribosomal RNA, 454 nt
Filed under: uncultured bacterium
Lineage: Bacteria
Description: partial 16S ribosomal RNA
Rfam family: Bacterial small subunit ribosomal RNA
Source: RNAcentral
UAGGGAAUCUUCCACAAUGGACGCAAGUCUGAUGGAGCAACGCCGCGUNAGUGAAGAAGGCUUUCGGGUCGUAAAACUCUGUUAUUGAAGAAGAACGUGUGUGACAGUAACUGGUCAUGCAGUGACGGUAUUCAAUCAGAAAGUCACGGCUAACUACGUGCCAGCAGCCGCGGUAAUACGUAGGUGGCAAGCGUUGUCCGGAUUUAUUGGGCGUAAAGCGAGUGCAGGCGGUCUUUUAAGUCUGAUGUGAAAGCCUUCGGCUUAACCGAAGAAGGGCAUCGGAAACUGGGAGACUUGAGUGCAGAAGAGGAGAGUGGAACUCCAUGUGUAGCGGUGAAAUGCGUAGAUAUAUGGAAGAACACCAGUGGCGAAGGCGGCUCUCUGGUCUGUAACUGACGCUGAGGCUCGAAAGCGUGGGUAGCAAACAGGAUUAGAUACCCUGGUAGUCCACGCC